GGCUUUUCGAAUUCGUGCUGAGAUUUCGUCAGACAUCAAUAAAUUGGGGCUGACCAAACUUCCAAGAUAAGUGAAGUU
This 78-nucleotide microRNA precursor is filed under the name Schistosoma margrebowiei. RNAcentral's name for it is "mir-3492 microRNA precursor family". It matches the Rfam family "mir-3492 microRNA precursor family". Lineage: Eukaryota; Metazoa; Platyhelminthes; Trematoda; Strigeidida; Schistosomatidae. The record is from Rfam by way of RNAcentral.